Molecule: ribosomal RNA, 529 nt
Filed under: Nidirana daunchina (Emei music frog)
Lineage: Eukaryota; Metazoa; Chordata; Amphibia; Anura; Ranidae
Description: partial 16S ribosomal RNA
Rfam family: Bacterial large subunit ribosomal RNA
Source: RNAcentral
AGCCUGCCCAGUGACAAAAUUCAACGGCCGCGGUACCCUAACCGUGCGAAGGUAGCAUAAUCACUUGUUCUCUAAAUAGGGACUAGUAUCAACGGCAUCACGAGGGCUGUACUGUCUCCUUUCUCCAAUCAGUGAAACUGAUCUCCCCGUGAAGAAGCGGGGAUUAUUAUAUAAGACGAGAAGACCCCAUGGAGCUUUAAACUCAUCACUCACUUCCUCACCUCCAUGCCCGACCAUAUAAGGAAUCUGUGUGAUAGUUUUGGGUUGGGGGGACCACGGAGUACAAUUUAACCUCCAUGACAAAUGGGCUAACGCCCUUAUCUAUGAACUACAACUCUAAGAAUCAUAAACUGAUGUUUGAUGACCCGACAAUUCGAUCAACGAACCAAGUUACCCUGGGGAUAACAGCGCAAUCUACUUCAAGAGCCCCUAUCGACAAGUAGGUUUACGACCUCGAUGUUGGAUCAGGGUGUCCUAGGGGUGCAGCCGCUCCUAACGGUUCGUUUGUUCAACGAUUAAAACCCUACGG